This is a non-coding RNA of Triticum urartu, 569 nucleotides long. The record is from RefSeq and is a predicted model, not a curated record. Lineage: Eukaryota; Viridiplantae; Streptophyta; Magnoliopsida; Poales; Poaceae.
AUCACAUGACAUGUACCACCAUUGAAUAUUUUCUUGUAACCGAUCAAUUGUAGCUAUUGUUGUGAACACAAAGUCCUGAAAGUUGAUGAAGAAAAUAUAGCUCUUUAAAGAAUAUGCGGUCACUCAUACAAAUAUGUCAAAUACAUCUGUAGGUAUUGGAGGCUUCUACAAUAUCAUGUCUUAGAAGAGUUUUGAUUCAUUACCUCAUCUGUUGGGUUAUCGUGCCUAAUUCCAGAAAACAUGGUGUUCAUAAGGAGGUUGCAAAGACAUGCAGGGAUGGAAAGAUGUAAACAGACCUCAAGAUUUAAGCUAUAUAUAUUACCCAAACUUGAUGUGUCUGUCGUUUCUUCUUUCGUCCUUCGAUGUGCUGGGUGUCCCGACGUAUGUCGCCCCUUCGAUUUGUGUGGAUAUGUUGUUGUGUGGAUCUCCCUUCAAUGGGUGUUCUGGCAUCUAUUAUUCUGUGGGUGUUCUCGGGUGUCUGCCCCAACCUUUAUAUUAGUCAAAGGUUGCUGAGUUUGAAUUCUGUACGGAUGACUUUUGCAAUAGUAUACGACCGUAUCCUUGACUAA